Molecule: long non-coding RNA, 5140 nt
Filed under: Populus trichocarpa (black cottonwood)
Lineage: Eukaryota; Viridiplantae; Streptophyta; Magnoliopsida; Malpighiales; Salicaceae
Description: long non-coding RNA (PTRI_LNC004248)
Source: RNAcentral
GGAUGCAGCCAAUCUAUCUGGAAGGAGCUUAGGGAAUUCUUGAAAAGAUGGAAGAACAAUGUGUAUUGAUUGAGUGAAUGAAUAAAGACCUUAGGUCAUGUAUUUGUACAGCCAAGGCAUUCCUAUGAGUUAGGAAUGGGAACUACAUUACAGGAAAAUCAGCUACAAUAUAGGAACUAAAAUAGGAAAAUAAUAUGUACUGAUUAUCUAUUUCUAUAUAAAGAUAAUGUCAACAUUUAUCUUGUCAACACUCCCCCUCAAGUUGGAGAGUGGAUAUCCUGAACUCCCAACUUGCGAAUCAUAGGGAUGAAACUUUCCUUUCCCAAAGACUUGGUCAGGAUAUCCGCUAGCUGAUGUGUAGAACUCACAUAUCUCGUGAUCACUGAACCGUCUUGAAUCUUGUCUCUAAUGAAAUGGCAGUCCAUCUCAAUGUGCCUAGUCCGCUCAUGGAAAACUGGGUUGGCAGCUAUGUGUAAGGCAGCCUUGUUGUCGCAAAACAAUAGGGCUGCUUCAUGAUGUAUUAGACCCAAGUCUUUCAAUAAUUGACGCAGCCAAGUCAACUCACAGCAGGCUCCUGUCAUUGCGCGAUAUUCGGCUUCGGCGGAAGAAAGGGAAACUGUUUUCUGUCUUUUCGAUCUCCAGGAUAUCAAUGACGGUCCAAGAAACACACAAUAGCCUGUGGUGGAUCUCCUAGUGAGCGGGCAACCUGCCCAGUCUGAGUCACAAUAUGCUCUCAACCUGAAGUCAUUAUUCGAUGAGAAAAAUAGGCCUUGACCUGGUGCACCUUUCAAAUAUCGGACAACCCGAAGUGCUGCUUCCAUGUGAAGCUUUCUGGGCUCAUGCAUAAACCUACUCAAAACAUGCACUGCAUAGGUUAUAUCCGGUCUCGAAACUGUCAGAUAAAUCAAUCUGCCAACCAAUCUUCUAUACUUACUCGGUUCUUUCAACAAAACACCCUGGUCUGAUAAUUUUAAACCUCGUUCCAUAGGAGUGUUAAUUGGGGCAGCCCCCAACAGACCCACAUCCUCAAUAAUUUCCAAAGCAUAUUUACGUUGACAGAUAAAAAUACCCUUCUUGGAUGCAGAAACUUCUAUGCCAAGGAAGUACUUUAGAUUACCAAGGUCUUUAAGAUUAAACUGACUAUGCAGGAAUUUUUUAGUGUCAACAAUGCUAGCAUGAUCAUUUCCAGUUAUUAGAAUAUCAUCCAUAUAUAUCAAAAGUGCAGUAAAGAGCUUGCCUCGUGUUUUGGUGAACAAAGAGUAAUCGGCUCGAGAUUGGAUGAAGCCAGCAGAACACAUGGCCUCCGAGAAUUUUGCAAACCACUGCCUAGACGCCUGUUUCAAACCGUACAACGACUUAUGUAAACGGCACACCAGAUUAUUCUCCCCCUGUCGCUGAAGGCCAGGCGGUGGAGACAUGUAAAUCUCUUCUGCCAAAUCGCCAUGAAGAAAGGCGUUAUUCACGUCCAUUUGAUGCAAGGACCACCCACGGGCUGCAGCUAAGGCAAGCAAGCAGCGCACUGAAAUAAUCUUCGCUGUUGGAGAAAAUGUAUCCUGGUAAUCUAUGCCUUCCAAUUGGGUGAACCCCUUUGCUACCAACCGUGCUUUGUGCCUUUCAACUGACCCAUCUGAUCGGAGCUUGACCUUAUAGACCCAUCGGCAGCCAAUUGGAAUUUUACCAGUGGGAAGUUUGGUAAGAGUCCAGGUGCCGUUAGCUUGUAAAGCCUUCAACUCAGAAGUCAUGGCCUUCUGCCACUCAGGAUGAACAACUGCCUCUGAAUAGGACUUAGGUUCACUGAUGGUGCCGAUUUGAGCAACAAAGGAUCUGUAAUUGGGCAUGUAUCUGUGAUAUGAGAGGUGGUUAAACAGAGGAUGUCGAGUUCCUUUGGUUGGACCCAGCGACAAAGAGAGUGAUUGGUCAGUGUAAACAUUGUUGCAGACGAAAUCCUUGAGCUUGAUCGGUGGAACAGUCUGGCGACUUGAGCGACGGAGAGGAAUAGGGGCAGGAAUGGGGUUAUUUGGUGGAGUGGUGGUUGAUGAGUGCUCGAAUGGUGGAGCUGAAGGAGGUGGCUGUGGGAGUGGUGAAGGUGACGGUGGGUCACGAGGUGAAGGGGACAUGUGUGAUGGCGUCGGUGAAGGAGAGGAAGAUGGUGAAUUUGGUAAAGGUGAGGUAAGGUGAUUUGGCAGGUAAGUGUCUGAUGUGGAAGGAGAAGAAUUGGGCCAAGGGAUGUCACGGGCCAUAAUUGGGAUUGGGCCGGUUUCGGAAAUUUGUGGGCCAGUUUCUGGUGGGUUAAUGGGCUGGACAGAUGCAUAGGGAAAAAUGGUUUCAUGAAAUCUGACAUCGCGGCUAGUAAAAUUUUUUUUAUUUGACAAAUCAAACAAUUUGUAUGCUUUUUGUCCAACGGGAUAACCAAUGAAAAUGGAAGGAAUGGAACGCUGAUCAAACUUAUGAGAAAUGCGCACAUUAGUAGCAUAGGUUAGACAGCCAAAAACACGGAGAUGAGAAAAGGCGGGUUUUUUUGAAAAGAGAAGUUCAAAAGGAGUUUUUAGAGAAAGAACUGGAGAAGGCAAACGAUUGAUUAUGUGGACGGCGGUAAGAGCACAUUCCCCCCAAAAAAGGGUAGGGAGAUGUGCUUGAAAUUUUAAAGCGCGAGCUACUUGUAAAAUAUGACGAUGUUUACGUUCCAGAACCCUAUUUUGUUGCGGCGUGUAGACGCAAGAAUGUUGAAAAACGACCCCAUGAUUUUGAAAAAAAGAACGUAAAGAAAUAAAUUCUCCACCGUUAUCACUUCGAAAUGUUUUUAUUUGAGUUUCAAAUUGGGUCCGAACAAAACUGAAGAAAUUUUUUAAAAGUGAUUGUGCUUCAUUUUUAUGUCGCAUUAAAAAUAUCCAUGUGAAACGAGAAAAAUCAUCCACAAUGGUAAGAAAAUAAUGAGCACCAGUAAGGGAAGGAUGUCGAUAACGACCCCAAAUAUCACAAUGAAUUAUUUCAAAAGGUUUUAUUGAAGAAAUAGUACUAGGACUGAAAGGUAAACGACUCUGCUUUGCCAAAGGACAUAUAUGACAAGCAUUAUUUGACCGAAUUGAAAAUUUUAAAAAAUUCUUGGCAAUGAAACUUAAACAAGGAGAUGAUGCAUGCCCUAAGCGAUGAUGCCAGAGAUCGGUGGAUGAAAUGGUAAGAUUGCAUGUCGGCAGUUUUGUGGGUGGGGAGGCGGUGUUUAUGGUUUUAUUCGUCACAAGUGCCGUUAGAUAAUAUAAGUCGUCUCUUUGUUUACCCAAACCAAUCAUCCUCCUCGUAGCCAGAUCCUGCAAAAUACACCAAUAGGGAAAAAAAGUUAUUGAGCAGUUCAGGCCUCUCGUCAACCGACUAACUGAUAUCAGAUCAACUUUGAAAGUAGGAACACAAAGCACAUUAUGCAGAUAAUAAACAGAGUUCAAAGGUAGCGAUCCUUUGGCGACAAUAUUGACUUUCUCUCCACUGGGCAGCAUUACCGAAUGUAAUGAACAACUUUUAUUUUUACGGAAUAAUUUAAGUGACGAAGAAAUAUGAUCCGUUGCCCCGCUAUCAAUGAUCCAAUCGCGGGAAGUGAUUUUAGACAAACCUGGUUUGGUAACCGCAUUUGCCUGAGAUAUAGAGUCAUCAUUCUUACUAACAAGUGACAAAAGUUGUUUUAAUUGAUCCUCCGAAAUGCGCAUGAACUGGCUGCCAUCAACUUUGGGAUUGGUCUCGGUAAUGCUAUUGGCUGGAGGCCUGGCCCAAGAACUUUCGGCCACAUGAUUCACUGCAGGCCUGGCCCAAGAACUCUCGGCCAUAUGAUUCCCCGCAGGCCUGGCCCUGUUGUUGAAGCUGCGUGAGCCCGGCUGGAAUCUUCCUCUCGGAUGGCCCAUUGGAUAGCCAUUUAAUUCAUAACACGUCUGGACCCAGUGUCCAUUUUCUCCGCAGUGGGAGCAAUUUGGUCGUCCUCUACCUGCGAAAGUCCCCUGUCUCCGUCUGUCUUGGUUGAAACUUUCUGGUUGUCUCUCCUGCGACCGUGGUUCGUGCGAACCGUAUGAACGGUUGAAUCGUCCAUGUCUGGCUGGGUUGGGUCUUCCUCGAACAGCCAUAGCUGCACUGUUGAUGGGUUCAAUUGUGGUAUGCGAUGAAGUGAGGAUUCGCUGUUUCUCUUCCUGAGAAAUUGAAGAAUAUGCCUGCCGAAUUGAAGGAAGAGGAUUCAUGAGGAGGAUCUGCCCGCGAAUAGCACUGUAAGAAUCAUUCAGCCCCAUCAAAAAUUGCAUUAACUUUUGUUGAUCCUGCUGUGCCCCAUGGGUUGUGUUGUCAUAGGAUGCUAAUUCAUCCCACAGUCCUUUCAGUCUGGUAUAAUAGGAAGAAACAGACAGUUGUUCUUGCUUGAAAUAAGCAAUUUCUCGUUGUAUCUCGAAAAUUCGAGGAGCAUUGCUUUGGGAGAAUCUCUCAUUAAGGUCUUCCCAAACCUCAUGUGCAGUAGAGUAAUAAAUCACACUGUUGGAGAUGUCUGGACUGAGUGCAUUGAUAAGCCAUGAAUGCACCAUAUCAUUACACCGAGACCAUGCUGCAUAACCUUCGGGAUCAGUUUCUUCUGAAGGAAUUUUGAUUGAGUUGUUGACAAAACCUAAUUUGUUCUUGGAAUUUAAGGCUAAAGUCAUAGCCCUCUUCCAGGUGGAAUAAUUAUCUCCGUUUAGAGGUUUGGAGACUAAAAUCAGACUUGGGUGAUCGGAGUGAUGAGUAAAGAAAGGAUUUGAGAUGUUUGAUUUUGAGGGAUCUGCAGAGGCAGCAGGAACGGCUGCUUGAUUGUUCAUGCCUGUGUUGGCUGAUAAUUGAUUUUUUUUCUGUGGACAUGGUGAUUGGGAAAGUAGAUACUGGGUAGCCAAUGUAGUGAAGGGAAACGGUGGAUCAAGGAAAGUUAGGAUCUUUGAAUAUGCUCUGAUACCAUGAAAAGAUGGAAGAAGUAUUGAUUGAGUGAAUGAAUACAGACCUUAGGUCAUGUAUUUGUACAGCCAAGGCAUUCCUAUGAGUUAGGAAUGGGAACUACAUUACAGGAAAAUCAGCUACAAUAUAGGAACUAAAAUAGGAAAAUAAUAUGUACUGAUUAUCUAUUUCUAUAUAAAGAUAAUGUCAACAUUUA